GCAAGUCGAACGGUAGGAAUCCUUCGGGAUCUCUGAGUGGCGAACGGGCGAGUAACACGUAGAUGAUCUGCCUUGAAGUUGGGGAUAGCCGAUAGCAAUAUGGGGUAAUACCGGAUAAUACCUUAGAACUCUGGUUUUUUGGUGAAAGGGGCUUCGGCCUCGCUUUGAGAUGAGUCUGCGGCUUAUUAGCUAGUUGGUAGGGUAAAGGCCUACCAAGGCGACGAUAAGUAGCCGGCCUGAGAGGGUGACC
This 250-nucleotide ribosomal RNA is filed under the name uncultured bacterium. RNAcentral describes it as "partial 16S ribosomal RNA". It matches the Rfam family "Bacterial small subunit ribosomal RNA", at positions 57 to 305 of the family's 1533-position model. The record is from RNAcentral.